RNAcentral lists this ribosomal RNA (888 nucleotides) under Bacillus sp. M_Sw_HS_04/12_2_2(2). Its description in RNAcentral is "bacterial SSU rRNA". It matches the Rfam family "Bacterial small subunit ribosomal RNA". Lineage: Bacteria; Bacillati; Bacillota; Bacilli; Caryophanales; Bacillaceae. The record is from RNAcentral.
GCUCAGGACGAACGCUGGCGGCGUGCCUAAUACAUGCAAGUCGAGCGGACCGACGGGAGCUUGCUCCCUUAGGUCAGCGGCGGACGGGUGAGUAACACGUGGGUAACCUGCCUGUAAGACUGGGAUAACUCCGGGAAACCGGGGCUAAUACCGGAUGCUUGAUUGAACCGCAUGGUUCAAUCAUAAAAGGUGGCUUUUAGCUACCACUUACAGAUGGACCCGCGGCGCAUUAGCUAGUUGGUGAGGUAACGGCUCACCAAGGCGACGAUGCGUAGCCGACCUGAGAGGGUGAUCGGCCACACUGGGACUGAGACACGGCCCAGACUCCUACGGGAGGCAGCAGUAGGGAAUCUUCCGCAAUGGACGAAAGUCUGACGGAGCAACGCCGCGUGAGUGAUGAAGGUUUUCGGAUCGUAAAACUCUGUUGUUAGGGAAGAACAAGUACCGUUCGAAUAGGGCGGUACCUUGACGGUACCUAACCAGAAAGCCACGGCUAACUACGUGCCAGCAGCCGCGGUAAUACGUAGGUGGCAAGCGUUGUCCGGAAUUAUUGGGCGUAAAGCGCGCGCAGGCGGUUUCUUAAGUCUGAUGUGAAAGCCCCCGGCUCAACCGGGGAGGGUCAUUGGAAACUGGGGAACUUGAGUGCAGAAGAGGAGAGUGGAAUUCCACGUGUAGCGGUGAAAUGCGUAGAGAUGUGGAGGAACACCAGUGGCGAAGGCGACUCUCUGGUCUGUAACUGACGCUGAGGCGCGAAAGCGUGGGGAGCGAACAGGAUUAGAUACCCUGGUAGUCCACGCCGUAAACGAUGAGUGCUAAGUGUUAGAGGGUUUCCGCCCUUUAGUGCUGCAGCAAACGCAUAAGCACUCCGCCUGUUAGAUCCCGCUCUUU